UAGGGAAUCUUCCACAAUGGGCGAAAGCCUGAUGGAGAACGCCGCGUGUGUGAUGAAGGGUUUCGGCUCGUAAAACACUGUUGUAAGAGAAGAAUGACAUUGAGAGUAACUGUUCAAUGUGUGACGGUAUCUUACCAGAAAGGAACGGCUAAAUACGUGCCGA
RNAcentral lists this ribosomal RNA (163 nucleotides) under uncultured bacterium. RNAcentral describes it as "partial 16S rRNA". It matches the Rfam family "Bacterial small subunit ribosomal RNA", at positions 355 to 511 of the family's 1533-position model. The record is from RNAcentral.